AACGAGGGGAUAAUUAGCGCAUGUACUGGUGGAUGUUAUCAGCGUGCGUCACUGACGAGCUACCACGCAAAGGAAGAAAUAUUGAUGUUCACUCGUACAUCCCAGUUGUUGACCUUAUGUGAAUGGAUGUGAAGAGACAAAUAAAGAUGCAUUCAACGGUGGAAAUCGGA
Long non-coding RNA from Oryzias melastigma (Indian medaka), 170 nucleotides. RefSeq lists it as uncharacterized. The record is from RefSeq and is a predicted model, not a curated record. Lineage: Eukaryota; Metazoa; Chordata; Actinopteri; Beloniformes; Adrianichthyidae. The transcript has 2 exons.